UAGGUGUUUGUGUGUUGGUUGUGGUGUCUCCACCGGUGUCAAUCGCGAAUCGCGGCGCCAGGCGCCAACCACGCUGCAACAGCGUUGCCCGCAGGCUUGCUAAUGAUCCUUCCGCAGGUUCACCUACGGAAA
Molecule: unclassified non-coding RNA, 132 nt
Filed under: uncultured fungus
Lineage: Eukaryota; Fungi
Description: sequence contains ITS1
Source: RNAcentral